UGCUGGGGCCAGGCUCUGGGAGCAGCAGCAUCCCCCUGAAGAGCUCUGUCUGUGUUCCACAGGAACCCUGGCCUACAGCCCUCCAGAGUGGACCCAGCACCAAAGCUACCAUGGCGAGGCAGCAACGAUCUGGUCCCUGGGCCUCCUGCUGUACCAGCUGGUCGUGGGGAAGCACCCGUUCAGGAGGGGCCAGGAGAUCAUCUGGGGGCGCAUCUUGUUCCCAGCACGGCUCUCUCAAGAGUGCCAAGAUGUCAUUAAGCGGUGUUUGUCCAUGCAGCCCUCGGACAGGCCAUCAUUAGAAGAGCUUUUCUGCCAUCCUUGGGUGCAGGGUGCUCCUCGGCCCUAGAAGAUGGGAGAGAUGCAUGUGCACAGUUGGAUCCAGGGGCCUGGCAGGUACCAGCUCCACACAUCUCUUGGCACUCAGUGGCAAAGCAAACCAGACUGGUUUUGUCCUGCCUGUAGCUCUGAGCAGGGGUCAGCAGAAGGGAACAAGCAGCUCUUGGGCGGGAGCUGAGCUGGAGAUCUGGUGUGGCAAGCACUGGUGGCCACCAUCGCCCCGGUUUGUUUGUCUGGUUCAUGGAUGGCUGGGGCCCUGGGCAGAGCCCUGACAGCCUGGUCUGUUCCCAGGGAAGGAGAAGGAGCUCCUGGAGAAGCUGUACCAGGUGGGGCUGCUGCUGGAGACAGCAAAGACAACCUCAAGGACGACAGUCUCUUCCUUGGCCUGGCCAGCUGAAGAAGAUGGACUUGGAUUCUGGCACCUUCUCUAAAGACACACUCCACACCCAAUUUGCAGAGGUGCCACAAGUGGGCCAAAGCUGGUGAGUGGGCCGUGUCCCUGAGGCAGUGCAGUCUGGAGCUGAUGGAUGGAGAAUUGCCUUUCUGCACUCCCAAACCAGAGGAAAAAUCUGUAAGUGGGACUUUGUGUCUUUAAGAAACCCCUGACAGUUUCAAAGGGAAUGUGCAGCUCAUUCACAGGGUGAGAAGGAAGGGCAUCUUCUGAAGGGUUUGGGGUUUGACAGAGGUUAUAUUCCCAGUGCUGCUUGGAGCUGGAAGGGCACAAAGCAAUUUCCCAUUGCUUCAACCACAAUUUAAAAUAACAAUGUUGGAAACAAAGCCCAAAAACUUUUUAAAAAGGCUGCUGAGGUCAGUAAGAUGGAUCCAUGCCAUCAGCACAUUCACAAUGUAAUGUAUGAAAAAAAUAACUGAGUUUUCUUCUUCCAAAGAUCAUUUGCCUCUUAAUACAAAGUCACAAAAGAUUUUUCACUGCACA
Molecule: long non-coding RNA, 1270 nt
Organism: Passer domesticus (house sparrow)
Lineage: Eukaryota; Metazoa; Chordata; Aves; Passeriformes; Passeridae
Exons: 3
Source: RefSeq, a predicted model, not a curated record